GAUGAACGCUGGCGGCGUGCCUAAUACAUGCAAGUCGAGCGAACAGACGAGGAGCUUGCUCCUCUGACGUUAGCGGCGGACGGGUGAGUACACGUGGAUAACCUACCUAUAAGACUGGGAUAACUUCGGGAAACCGGAGCUAAUACCGGAUAAUAUAUUGAACCGCAUGGUUCAAUAGUGAAAGACGGUUUUGCUGUCACUUAUAGAUGGAUCCGCGCCGCAUUAGCUAGUUGGUAAGGUAACGGCUUACCAAGGCGACGAUGCGUAGCCGACCUGAGAGGGUGAUCGGCCACACUGGAACUGAGACACGGUCCAGACUCCGACGGGAGGAAGCAGUAGGGAAUCUUACGCAAUGGGCGAAAGCCUGACGGAGCAACGCCGCGUGAGUGAUGAAGGUCUUAGGAUCGUAAAACUCUGUUAUUAGGGAAGAACAAAUGUGUAAGUAACUAUGCACGUCUUGACGGUACCUAAACAGAAAGCCACGGCUAACUACGUG
This 496-nucleotide ribosomal RNA is filed under the name uncultured bacterium. Its description in RNAcentral is "partial 16S ribosomal RNA". It matches the Rfam family "Bacterial small subunit ribosomal RNA", at positions 28 to 507 of the family's 1533-position model. The record is from RNAcentral.